AUAUUAAAGAGGAAGCACAUCUUUAGUUUCCAGUAACUGGCAUUUGGUUACGGGGUGGCCGUUUUUCUGCGUGGACCAAGCAGGGUCCCAGUUCAAGUUUCUGCUGCGUAUCUGAUAAUCUUGAGGUAUUUAUGAAGGACUCCUUUGAAAGUUCUCUACUGAGUUUCCUUAAGGAAUUGGAAUAUAUUUAAUGACCUCCACCAUCUCUAAGAACAAGCAGCUAUUUCUGUAGAGAAAGAUCGUCUUUGGAUAACAAUACAUGAUUUUAGGCUCCAAAAGUUAAAACGUGUUUGUAAUGUUGAUAUUAUGCAGAGGUCUUGACAGAACUUGGCAGUCUCUGAGGCUACAGAGAAGUGUGAAAAAGAGCAUAGAGAUUUCAGAAGGAGGCAGAUUCAGUCAGACGUACUGAAUCCCGUUUGAUCUCAACUCAGGCACACUCCAGAUGGACGUACUGAACAGCACACUGGAGUUUUUGUCCAGAAGUUUGACUUUAGAAGAUAAGAAAUAACUGAGCGUACAAGCAGGAGUUAGAGGAAGAGACUCAGUACAGAAGAGACAGGAACAAAAGUUCACCUCCAUUCAAUGGGAAAGGAUACAGAUCAAGAGUUCAGGAAAAGUAGGAGAAAGAAGCUCUAUUCCAGAAGCAGUCUGGAGCACAAAGAAUCCCUAAUCACUGACAUUAAGAAAGAAGAAAAAUAUUCCUAGGACGAUCCUGGAGAGCAAAGGUCAUCAGCAGUCACUUGACUUUCCUUGGAUUUCUCAACUGCAAUAGUCACAUGGUCUGCUG
RNAcentral lists this non-coding RNA (787 nucleotides) under Pan troglodytes (chimpanzee). Lineage: Eukaryota; Metazoa; Chordata; Mammalia; Primates; Hominidae. The record is from RNAcentral.